AGUAGUAGUAGUAGUAGUAGUAGUAGUAGUAGUAGUAGGAGUAGUAGUAGUAGUAGUAGUAGUAGUAGUAGUAGUAGUAGUAGUAGUAUAGUAGUAGUAGUAGUAGUAGUAGUAGUAGUAGUAGUAGUAGUAGUAGUAGUAGUAGUGGUAGUAGUAGUAGGAGUAGUAGUAGUAGUAGUAGUAGUAGUAGUGGUAGUAGUAGUAGUAUAGUAGUAGUAGUAGUAGGAGUAGUAGUGGUAGUAGUAGUAGUAGUAGUAGUAGGAGUAGUAGUGGUAGUAGUAGUAGUAGGAGUAGUAGUGGUAAUAGGAGUAGGAGUAGUAGUGGUAGUAGUGGUAGUAGUAGUGGUAGUAGUAGUAGUAGUAGUAGUAGUGGUGGUAGUAGUAGUAGUAGUAGUAGUAGUAGUAGUAGGAGUAGUAGUGGUAGUAGGAGUAGUAGUGGUAGUAGUAGUAGUAGGAGUAGUAGUGGUAGAGGGAGUGGUAGUAGUAGUAGCAGUAGCAGGAGUAGUAGCAGUAGUAGUAGGAGUAGUAGUGGUAGUAGUAGUAGUAGUAGUAGUAGGAGUAGUAG
Molecule: long non-coding RNA, 564 nt
Organism: Oncorhynchus tshawytscha (Chinook salmon)
Lineage: Eukaryota; Metazoa; Chordata; Actinopteri; Salmoniformes; Salmonidae
Source: Ensembl